CAGCAGCCGCGGUAAUACAGAGGUGGCGAGCGUUGUUCGGAUUUACUGGGCGUAAAGGGCGCGUAGGCGGUACAGUAUGUCGGGUGUGAAAUCUCCAGGCUCAACCUGGAAAGUGCGCCCGAAACUGCUGAACUAGAGUACGGGAGGGGAGAUCGGAAUACAAGGUGUAGCGGUGAAAUGCGUUGAUAUCUUGUAGAACACCGGUGGCGAAGGCGGAUCUCUGGAACGUAACUGACGCUGAGGCGCGAAAGUCGGGGGAGCAAACAGGAUUAGAUACCCUGGUAGUCCCGACCGUAAACGGUGCACACUUGGGGUUGGGGGAUUUCACCCCUCCAGUCCCGGAGCUAACGCGUUAAGUGUGCCGCCUGGGGAGUACGGCCGCAAGGUUAAAACUCAAAGAAAUUGACGGGGGCCCGCACAAGCAGAGGAGCAUGUGGCUUAAUUCGAUGCAACGCGAAGAACCUUACCCGGGUUUGACAUAUAACUGCAACUCCCUGGAAACAGGGAUUCCUUCGAGGGUGUUAUACAGGUGCUGCAUGGCUGUCGUCAGUUCGUGCCGUGAGGUGUUUGGUUAAGUCCAGCAACGAACGCAACCCCUAUGUUUAGUUGCCAACGGGGUAAUGCCGGGAACUCUAGACAGACUGCCCGUUCACACGGGAAGAAGGUGGGGACCACGUCAAGUCAGUAUGGCCCUUACAUCCGGGGCUGCACACGUGCUACAAUGGCAGGUACAAUAGGAAGCAAUACCGCAAGGUGGAGCCAAUCCCCAAAACCUGCCCCAGUUCGGAUUGUGGUCUGCAACCCGACCACAUGAAGUUGGAUUUGCUAGUAACGGCGUAUCAGCUACGACGCCGUGAAUACGUUCCCGGGCCUUGUACACACCGCCCGUCACAUCAUGAAAGCCGUCUGCACCCGAAUCCGGUGCACCAACCAGCAUUGGAGGGAACCGUCUAAGGUUGGGUUGGUAAUUGGGAUGAAGUCGUAACAAGGUAUCCGUA
Molecule: ribosomal RNA, 998 nt
Filed under: uncultured bacterium CLEAR-26
Lineage: Bacteria; Pseudomonadati; Kiritimatiellota
Description: bacterial SSU rRNA
Rfam family: Bacterial small subunit ribosomal RNA
Source: RNAcentral